RNAcentral lists this ribosomal RNA (427 nucleotides) under uncultured bacterium. RNAcentral's name for it is "partial 16S ribosomal RNA". It matches the Rfam family "Bacterial small subunit ribosomal RNA", at positions 355 to 774 of the family's 1533-position model. The record is from RNAcentral.
UGGGGAAUAUUGCACAAUGGGCGCAAGCCUGAUGCAGCCAUGCCGCGUGUAUGAAGAAGGCCUUCGGGUUGUAAAGUACUUUCAGCGAGGAGGAAGGCGUUGUGGUUAAUAACCGCAACGAUUGACGUUACUCGCAGCAGAAGCACCGGCUAACUCCGUGCCAGCAGCCGCGGUAAUACGGAGGGUGCAAGCGUUAAUCGGAAUUACUGGGCGUAAAGCGCACGCAGGCGGUCUGUCAAGUCGGAUGUGAAAUCCCCGGGCUCAACCUGGGAACUGCAUCCGAAACUGGCAGGCUAGAGUCUUGUAGAGGGGGGUAGAAUUCCAGGUGUAGCGGUGAAAUGCGUAGAGAUCUGGAGGAAUACCGGUGGCGAAGGCGGCCCCCUGGACAAAGACUGACGCUCAGGUGCGAAAGCGUGGGGAGCAAACA